Molecule: non-coding RNA, 66 nt
Organism: Mesocricetus auratus (golden hamster)
Lineage: Eukaryota; Metazoa; Chordata; Mammalia; Rodentia; Cricetidae
Source: Rfam
GGAUCAAUGAUGAUAACAAGUCUCUGAGGAUGCUGAUCAACUCAUCGCUAUGUCAAUCUGAGUUCC